AGUGAACGCUGGCGGUAUGCCUAACACAUGCAAGUCGAACGGCAGCACAGUAAGAGCUUGCUCUUACGGGUGGCGAGUGGCGGACGGGUGAGGAAUACAUCGGCAUCUACUUUUUCGUGGGGGAUAACGUAGGGACACUUACGCUAAUACCGCAUACGACCUACGGGUGAAAGCAGAGGAUCUUCGGACCUUGCGCGAUUGAAUUAGCCGAUGUCGGAUUAGCUAGUUGGCGGGGUAAAGGCCCACCAAGGCGACGAUCCGUAGCUGGUCUGAGAGGAUGAUCAGCCACACUGGAACUGAGACACGGUCCAGACUCCUACGGGAGGCAGCAGUGGGGAAUAUUGGACAAUGGGCGCAAGCCUGAUCCAGCCAUACCGCGUGGGUGAAGAAGGCCUUCGGGUUGUAAAGCCCUUUUGUUGGGAAAGAAAAGCAGCAGGUUAAUCCCCCGCUGUUCUGACGGUACCCAAAGAAUAAGCACCGGCUAACUUCGUG
Molecule: ribosomal RNA, 492 nt
Filed under: uncultured bacterium
Lineage: Bacteria
Description: partial 16S ribosomal RNA
Rfam family: Bacterial small subunit ribosomal RNA
Source: RNAcentral